Long non-coding RNA from Hippoglossus stenolepis (Pacific halibut), 1977 nucleotides. RefSeq lists it as uncharacterized. NCBI's taxonomy places the organism in Eukaryota, Metazoa, Chordata, Actinopteri, Pleuronectiformes, Pleuronectidae. The record is from RefSeq and is a predicted model, not a curated record. The transcript has 4 exons.
ACAACUAAAUGAAUACAGCUAUGGUGGCCUGCAGGUGAGGUAAAAACCUGAAAGACCCCUUUUCCUUAGAGAAUAUAUUUUCUUUUGUUUGUUUCUUGUUUGUUCUGGGCUACAGUACGAACAUGGAAGUACACUCCAUGGAGGAAGAACAACUCCCAAGAUAGAGGAAGAGGUUCUUCCUGCACUUCUCCUUCUUCCUCGUUCUCCUUAAAAAAGCCCAGUAAAUCCCAGGACCGAGGAAUGACCUGCCGGGAUACAAGACAACAGCAGGGAUCCCGAGUACUGGUUCUCCACCCACCGCACGCAGCAGCAUCCCAACUACGUAGCCGGUGAUAGCGCCGUAGGUAUUGGCGUGGCGGAAGUGCAGCACGCAGGCAAGCUGUGGGAAGACGAUGCAGUAGAGCAGGUCUCCGCUCAACAGCCAGAGGGCAAAGACGCUGUCAUCACCAAAGGCCAGGCCUGUUCCUGCCAGGCCCACCAGCACCACGCUACCACGGAUCACCCACUGCAGCUCCCGCUCCGACGCCUGCAGAGAGGGGAGGUGAAGCGACGAGGCCGCCACUGCUCCUAUGAUCACUGAGGGCAUUCCCAUCAUAAAAACUGUCCCAGCAGCAGCGAAGCAGGUGAUCUGAGCCUGAGCAGAGGAGGCUGCAGAGAGGAUCCUCUGGUACAGAGACUGAUAGGCCAGUCCGCCCACACUCUGUUGUAUACAGAACAACAACAACAAAAACAAGCUUUGUCAGUGAACAACUUGGCAAUUCAUGCAGUCCGACAAAACGUCCUUUCUCACAGCGGACAAUUUGACUGGUCAAACAGAUUUAUCAUUUACAUAGACCCAUCAUUUUCAACAACAGAUACUGUACAAAGAAGUCGAAUAAAGCUGCCUGAGUCAGGACAAGUAAGAGGACAAUGUUGCUGCAUGUAAAUAAAAGAUUACAUGUUGUUUCUCUGCACGAUUUUAGUGCAAAUUUUUUCGAGGGAUUUCAUGAGUGUGUGAGCAAGUGUGUGAUUCAAAGUUCAGUUGGGAGAAUGUGAUUAGAAAAAAGAUGAUGCCUCACUAAUUUUUGGAACUGUGGACACUCUUCAGUGCACUUGUGGUUGUACAGUAACGUUACAGAGUGGCGGUUCUUCUCCCCCGAGGCUAUCUUUGCAAAGUAGUGACGCAGACGUGCAGAAACCACAAAACUCAAGCCGCCAGCAGAUAAGUUUAAUUAAUAACAGCUGAUAAGACGCACCGCUCAUGUUUGAUAUUUUAACCAAUAGAGGCGGCGUUCAGAAAAAGAGAAUAGAAAAAAGACAGCCCUAUUAUCAUAAAAGUUGGCUCUCCUUAGUUCAAACAGUCCGCUAAGUUUGUUUUGGACACAGACGAGGUCACUGGUCCUGCAGCGUUUGUAAGCAAGUCGUUUGACUCGCACAAAACAAAUCUCACCACUAAUAGAAACUCAUCCAUCCAUAUUCCUGUGUCCGCCAGCUCCAUCUUUCCCAGCCAUGAGUUCCCACUCGUUUGGUUGACGUGGGGUCUUUGUGACAGGUCAGUAACAGCAGGACUGAGGAACAUAAAAGGAACACAGAGCCACUGAAAGAGAAAGGAAAAACAGUAGUUAUCGAACAAGCCACAAAUUGACUUACUCGAAUUUCUUAAUGUUGUCGUCUCUCCCUCAUUUCUGUCAAUCACUACUUUAAUACACUCCCUCUGUUUCUCACCAUGCUGACAAAGAUGAAGCAAAACUGGAUGACAUCAGUAUAUGCAACAGAGUACAGACCCCCUAAUACUGUAUAGAUGAUGGAGACAGCGGCCGAGAUAACAAUAGAGAGGGCUGACGACAACUCGAGAAUCAUGCUCAUCGUUCCUCCUGGAUAUCACACAGAAAAUAAACCAGAGGUGAACACACUGUGUAAUGUGAUGGACUGAUGACCACUGUUUUCAUUUAAAGGCACAAAGACGUACGUAUAAAGAUUGACCUACCCAGAGCAGAA